UCUCCGUAGGUGAACCUGCGGAGGGAUCAUUACCGAGUGAGGGUUCCGGCCCGACCUCAAACCCUUUGUGAAUUCGACCCAGUUGCCUCGGGGGCGACCCGGCCUUCGGGCGUCGGGGCCCCCGGAGCCCAUCAAACCCUGCGUAACUAAGUCGUCGGAGGUUAAAAAAAUUAAACAAAACUUUCAACAACAGAUCUCUUGGUUCGGGCAUCGAUGAAGAACGCAGC
RNAcentral lists this unclassified non-coding RNA (227 nucleotides) under uncultured fungus. RNAcentral describes it as "sequence contains ITS1, 5.8S rRNA gene". The stretch from base 179 to 227 matches the Rfam family "5.8S ribosomal RNA", at positions 1 to 49 of the family's 154-position model. The record is from RNAcentral. Lineage: Eukaryota; Fungi.